This 1045-nucleotide long non-coding RNA is filed under the name Sarcophilus harrisii (Tasmanian devil). RNAcentral describes it as "lncRNA (ENSSHAG00000030852.1)". The record is from RNAcentral. Lineage: Eukaryota; Metazoa; Chordata; Mammalia; Dasyuromorphia; Dasyuridae.
AUGCUCCUGAGACUGGUUAAAGGAUGCUUCCUUCCUUCCUUCAAGUUUCAUACACCAUCUCUGCUUGAAUCUCUGGGGCCAGACUUCUUUUCUUGCUCUUUGUUAGAAACAUAUAUGAAGUGACACAGACAUCCUUCUACAGAGUAGGUAGCUGAUCUUGAUCCAGAUUCAAGUCAGAGUUAUUUACAUGUAACCGAGAGAUGCAGCUUAUCUGUGUCUUUUUCAAUAUCUUCCUCUGUCUUCGAAGAAAAUUACCCCAGACCAUUACUAGCAGUUACUUGAUCCUAGACUUGUAAUUGAUAUACCUAUACCAUUUACUGAUUAGCACUCCUCCUAUAAAAAUCAUUUAUUUUCCCUACCCUCCUCCUAUCAUAAAGGACUUACCUAUGUUACCAUGUUAACACCCCAUGUCUCAUCACCAGUACCAACUUCCUGUCUUCCUAUCACACAUUUCCAUUCUCCCCUCUUCUGUUUCCUCCAGAUAUAAUGAAGACUAUCAGACCAUGGGGCUUCAUUUUCUCACUUUUUUCAGUUUCCUUCUUCUUCCAGAUGCUCACAUUGACCUCAGCAUGGAGUCACUCUUCAUUAAGCAAAUAUGUCCUCUUAAACAAAAGAGACAAAAGGAUUCUACUCCAAAGGAAUAUAAACAGCAUGUUGCAGAGCAGUUCCAAGGAUAACCAUAUCUAAAGAGCUAGACUGGUGUAGCAAAGGAGUUUGUAGCUCUGAUCUGAAAUCAAGAAAAUUAGUCCCAAGUUAGUCUAGGAAAACACACCAUGAAGGACGUGUUCUAGGUAAGAUACCUUAUUCCUCUCUAGCACCUCUCCUGCACCUAUGUAGGUGUGAGAUUAUAUUCACAAUUUUUUUUCAAUGUAGUGUUAAAUUCCAAAUGUUAAUUUUUCAGAUUUCAACAGACAGGGGAAAGAAAAGGGAAGAUUGAGAGGAAGAGAGAGAAAAAGGGAAACCAAGAAAGAGAGAAGAAAGUAGCCGGGAGGGAUGUAGAAGAAGCAUCAUUUUGCCCAAUUUCUAAUUAUCCAGUACACACACA